GAAGACCCUUUAAUAGAGGUGACAGGCCUAACGAACUUAGUGAUAGCUGGUUGCUCAAGAAAAGAAUUUUAGUUCAACCUAA
RNAcentral lists this transfer RNA (82 nucleotides) under Haddadus aramunha. RNAcentral describes it as "tRNA-Val". The record is from RNAcentral. Lineage: Eukaryota; Metazoa; Chordata; Amphibia; Anura; Craugastoridae.